CUGAAUUUCAGGAGCAAGAUACGGGUGGGUAAUUUGUACUUGUGAGUCAUCAACGUAUACAUAGAACUUGAAAUCCUGGGCAUCAAAAAGAUGACCUGAAGAGAGUGUGAAGACUGAAAAAGAGGUGUGGACCUUAACAUCUAGGUGAUGGAAUUGAAAACAAGGCCGAGAAAAUGUGACCUUUGGAAAAAAAUCAGGAGUCUGAGAUGUCACAGAAGUCAAU
Molecule: long non-coding RNA, 223 nt
Filed under: Homo sapiens (human)
Lineage: Eukaryota; Metazoa; Chordata; Mammalia; Primates; Hominidae
Description: HSALNT0353029
Source: RNAcentral